UGGGCAGCGCUGCCCGGGGGAUGGAAUCACGCCAGGCCUCCGGCUACCCGCCCGGAGCCCGCAAUGAAGCGGUCUGCUCCGCGGGCCACAAGACGGAGCCCGUAACAGGAAUACGGAGGGGCCCUGGUGCCCUGUUUCCUUGCAAUCAGAAGAUACUCACGUCAAAAUCGUAAACCGGGAAGAAUCCCCAACCCCAUCACUUCAAUUCCCAACUCUGACCAUUUGGUAGUGGCUGCUGAGAAAACCGCGUGGAAAAUGGAAAAGACUGUGUUCAAUGGAAAAGAGUCUUCUGGUAUCUGUUAUGUUGUUUUGGGGUAGGAUGGGAGGAAGGCAGGGACAGUGCCACGUACUUGCCAUUCCUGCCCUCAGCCAGUGUCAUGAAGAAAUCAAGACAUGGAAAAAAUUGAGCAACUAAUCACCAUAUUACGCUGGAUAUUUCCCCUUUAAUAAAUAUCCUUUCGUUAA
This is a long non-coding RNA of Prionailurus viverrinus (fishing cat), 465 nucleotides long. RefSeq lists it as uncharacterized. NCBI's taxonomy places the organism in Eukaryota, Metazoa, Chordata, Mammalia, Carnivora, Felidae. The transcript is spliced from 2 exons. The record is from RefSeq and is a predicted model, not a curated record.